This is an RNA transcript of Solanum lycopersicum (tomato), 3459 nucleotides long. RefSeq lists it as uncharacterized. NCBI's taxonomy places the organism in Eukaryota, Viridiplantae, Streptophyta, Magnoliopsida, Solanales, Solanaceae. The record is from RefSeq and is a predicted model, not a curated record.
GUGUUAAAUUGAUGCAAAUACAAAAACCCUUGCAUAAACCCUCCAAAAAAAUACACUGAUUCAACAACAGCAGCCAUGGCCGAACAACAAAACUCCCAACUCUCAUCUCUUCGUGCUCUCGAGCUUCGUCUCUUACGUUGCUCUAUUCCAUCCUCAUCAUCUUCUUCUUCCCAUCAAUCCACACCCACUACUUCUUUUUCUCAUCUCCACACUCUUAUUGAACAAGUUCUGCAAUUCAUCGAAUCGGGUCAAUACACACAAGCACUCUCAUCUGAUGGAGCUAAAGCUAUUUUCACCUCACAACAACUGAAUCACAAGCUCAACGAUUCUUCCGAGUCUGCUGAAUCUUUUUACUCAGAAUUUGUGCCUCAGUGUGUUACUCUGUUCGUAAAUGCAAAUGGGAUUGAAAAAUCUGUUCCUAAUAGUGUUGAGAAGUUGUAUAAAGCUGUUCUUGUUAUGGCUGUUGCUGUUGCGGCUCUUCUUGGUUUUACUCAGUGUAAUAUUACUGGGCCAACGGUGAAGCUGCCACCAAUGCCUUUAGGUGCAAUAGUUUUUGGUGAAGAAGAGAUAAAGACUGGUUCUGGUGGAUGCUCAGAAUGGGAAGUGUGGGCGCAAAAGGAGUUAAUGUCAGUUGGUUCCGACUUGCGUGCUAAGUUUUCGAAUUUGCAGUAUAUAACCUUUGCCAAGAUACUGCUUAUGAGGACGAAAGAUCUUUUGUCAGAAGGAAUCAACUCGGGGGUUGAUGGAGCCAGAAGCAUCUCGUGGUGGUUAGCUAGGCUGUUAAUCAUCCAACAAAAGUUGUUAGAUGAUCGCUCGUCUUCUUUGUUUGAUCUAUUGCAAGUCUUCAUGCGUGAAAGUUUGCAACAUAUUGGUUCUCUGGAGAAAACAAGAUAUUAUUGGGCUUCUCUGAUAUCAGAAGAGGAUGCUUCUGCUAUUGUAUCUAUGCUUCAUUUGGAGGCAGGAAUAAUGGAACUUACCUAUGGGCGAGUGGAUGCUUCCAGGGUCCAUUUUGAAUCAGCUGCAGCAACAUCCAGACUUAAUUUUUCGCUAAGUGGGGCUUUGGGCUUUCGCACUGUACACCAGGCGGAACCGAAAGCACAGCUUCUUCUUGUAGGUAGUGCGGAUGGUGAUGAUUCUAGUGCUUCACUUGGUAAUGAUUUCCAAAAUAAGGUUUCUACUCAAGGUGAAAAUGCUUUUCCUCAACGUCCCAGUGAAACUCAUGAAGCAUCUGACAUAUUGAUGACCCCUAGAUUCUUGGAGGAUGAUAAAAAGUUAGAAUGUAGCGCACAAGAUGCUCAAAAUCACAGCAUAGCCUCUAUGCAAUUAAAGCCUACUCAGCAAGCAAUAAUUUUAGCACAAUGUCUUUCUAUUGAGAAGAGAGCUCGGAGUGAUGAACUGCAAAGGUGGGAGAUGGCUCCUUACAUUGAGGCAAUUGAUUCCCAGCAGUCAUCACCUUUUACGCUACAACAUUUGUGUGGUAUAUUACGCAUUCGAUGGGAAUCAACUCGCGGCCGUACAAAGCAGCGUGCAUUGCUGAUGAUGGAUAAACUGGUUCAAGGCAUAAAUGAUCCUUCUCCUGGAGCUUCACAAAGGAUGCAUUGUUGUUUUGGAGUUAGCAUCCCUACGGUUCCUGCAUUGCGCAAGGAGUAUGGAGAUCUGCUAGUGAGCUGUGGUUUGAUAGGGGAAGCUGUUAAAGUGUAUGAGGAUCUUGAGCUUUGGGAUAACUUAAUAUACUGUUAUAGGCUAAUGGAGAAGAAAGCGGCAGCAGUUGAACUUAUCCAAGCUCGGUUAUCUGAAAGACCUUGUGACCCUAGGUUAUGGUGUUCCCUUGGAGAUGUUACAAGUGAUGAUAAAUGCUAUGAGAAAGCCCUAGAAGUGUCUGGGAAUAAGUCAGCUCGAGCACAGCGUGCCCUUGCCCGUAGUGCAUACAACAGGGGGGAGUACGAGAAGUCAAAAGAUCUAUGGGAAUCUGCAAUGGCAAUGAAUUCUAUGUAUCCAGAUGGAUGGUUUGCACUUGGUGCUGCUGCUUUAAAGGCUAGAGAUGUUGAGAAGGCACUGGAUGGCUUCACCCGUGCUGUUCAGCUUGAUCCUGAAAAUGGAGAGGCUUGGAAUAAUAUUGCUUGCCUGCAUAUGGUUAAGAAGAAAAACAAGGAAGCUUUUAUUGCAUUCAAGGAAGCAUUGAAGCUGAAGCGAGACAGCUGGCAGAUGUGGGAAAAUUUUAGCCGUGUUGCUGCAGAUAUUGGAAAUUUCAGUCAGGCACUGGAAGCAGUACAAAAGGUAUUGGAUAUGACGAAAAAGAAGCGAAUCGAUGUCGAAUUACUGGAGAGGAUGUUGCAAGAGUUGGAAUUACGGACUGCAACUAGCCAUUCUGAAUGCGAUGCUUUGAGGGGUAGCAGUGACUCUUCCGAGGCGGGCUCCGACAUCAUUAGUGUUGAUCCAUUGACCAGCUCGGACAAAGAUCUGGCAAUAGAACGGGAAACUGAGCACUUGAUUCAGUCAGUGGGUAAAAUCUUACGGCAGAUUGUUCAAACUGGUGGGAAUGCUGAGAUUUGGGGGCUCUAUGCGAGGUGGCAUAAACUCAAAGGAGAUCUUGCGAUGUGUUCAGAGGCUUUUCUUAAGCAAGUCCGAUCAUACCAGGGAUCUGACCUAUGGAAGGAUAAAGACCGGUUUUCAAAGUUUGCACAUGCCUCGUUGGAACUCUGCAAGGUUUACCAGGAAAUAGCUCGGCGUAAUGGUAGCCGUAGGGAGUUGUCUGCCGCCGAGAUGCACUUAAAAAACACAAUCAAGCAGGCCGAGGCUUUCUCCAACACCAAAGAGUAUCAAGAUAUCUUGGCAUGCCUUGAUGAGGUGAAGGCAGCACAAGCUACACCCUGAUCAUAUGCUUUCUUCCUGAGUCAUUUAUUCAAAAGGCGAAAUCGACAACUCCUGGACAGACAUAUCGGCUAAUACGACAUUUUUCUCUGCGCAAGAUAAAUGAAUAGCUCUUGUUUUCAGGGGAAAAAAGAAGGGAGGUCUUUCAUGUACCGCGGCAAAGACGUAAUGUCUACCAACAGGCCUGGAGUUGCCUAGUCAUUUAAGGAGUCUGCUACAUGUAUUAUUAUGAGUAUGGGAUCAGACAAAAUAAUAGGUGUGUGAAUACUUUCAUCAUCUUCACCACAGAAUGCACAUUCAAAAGGUACUUUACCCAGACAUUUGAAGUCUAUCCAUUGUUACAGGCCUUUGUUGAACAGACAGCCACAAAUUCAAUCUGAGAUGAGGAUGAAGUCAAUUUUGCAAGGUAAAUACUCUUCUUUUGCAACUGAUUCAGUCUUUGAUUGCGAAAAACGAAAUUACGAUAGCUCAAGUUCAGUGAGCUUUAGGUAUUGUAUCUAGAAGAAGAAGGCUUUUUCUUUUGUACAGAAGUCAUUCACCAUUCCAAUUUGGAAUAGCAAGUGUAAGAGGAAGAAAAUGAUCCAUAAA